CGACUUUGUGAAAUGACU
RNAcentral lists this small nuclear RNA (18 nucleotides) under Arabidopsis thaliana (thale cress). RNAcentral describes it as "snRNA_08704". The record is from RNAcentral. Lineage: Eukaryota; Viridiplantae; Streptophyta; Magnoliopsida; Brassicales; Brassicaceae.